Molecule: ribosomal RNA, 253 nt
Filed under: uncultured bacterium
Lineage: Bacteria
Description: partial 16S ribosomal RNA
Rfam family: Bacterial small subunit ribosomal RNA
Source: RNAcentral
UACGAAGGGGGCUAGCGUUGCUCGGAAUCACUGGGCGUAAAGCGCACGUAGGCGGAUUUUUAAGUCAGGGGUGAAAUCCUGGAGCUCAACUCCAGAACUGCCUUUGAUACUGGCGAUCUUGAGUCCGGGAGAGGUGAGUGGAACUGCGAGUGUAGAGGUGAAAUUCGUAGAUAUUCGCAAGAACACCAGUGGCGAAGGCGGCUCACUGGCCCGGUACUGACGCUGAGGUGCGAAAGCGUGGGGAGCAAACAGG